Long non-coding RNA from Neofelis nebulosa (Clouded leopard), 2038 nucleotides. RefSeq lists it as uncharacterized. The transcript has 2 exons. The record is from RefSeq and is a predicted model, not a curated record. Lineage: Eukaryota; Metazoa; Chordata; Mammalia; Carnivora; Felidae.
CUAAAUCAUGGAUGGAGGUAUAUCUAGUAUAUUUUCAUUACUACUAUUCUUCAGCUUGCACAAUAAUCCAUAUACACUAGAAUUUCUCUUUGUCUUUUCCCCCAGUCACAAGAAAAUGAUUGGAAAGACUGUCACCAAAUUUGGAGGCUUAAGUUAGUCUAACUUCAAAUAAUAGGCUCUGUGGCAAACAUCACAUUCACUUUGAUGCUCCCAGAAACACUGAGGGGUAAGAUUAUCUGCAGAAGACCAGACUGAGGGCCAACUGUCUGCGGGCACACAGGAGCAGUUGCAGGUCAACUGCUGGAAUAACAUUUCUCAUAGCAAUGUCCAAGCAAGUUGAUCUGAUACCAGAGCAUCUAGAGGGCUGGCUCUACGAGAAGCUGAAAUGACAAAGAAUAAGUUAGUGACUUAAAAACUGGAGAUUUAAUUUCAAGGUAGGAAUCAUAAACUUGGUAUUGUCUGUUUUUACCAAACUUCAUAUAUGCAAAUUUUACAUACGUAUGGUUUUUCUUUAAACCUGUCAUCCAGUUCUAAGGGUCAAUUCCAAGGAGACACGACUAAAUUGCAGUAAUGAGAGAAGUACUGAUUUGCAGUCUGAUCAUUCAAGAAUAACUAACUUCAGGGGUGCCUGGAUUACGCAGUCAGUUAAGCAUCCCACUCUUGAUCCUGGUUCAGGUCAUGAUCUCAUGGUUCAUAAGAUCGAGUGCCACGUUGGGCUCUACACUGACAUUGUGGAACCUGCUUGGGAUUUUCCCUCUCUCUACUGCCCCACUCAUUCUCCCUCAAAAUAAAAAAAUAAACUUAAAAAAAAAAAAAACCUUUAGAAACUACUAAAUUGAACGAAAAAAACUGCCACUUUUAUAGAUCAAAGAUGGCCAAAUAUCAGAAAUUUCACUGACUCAAACUGACAUCUGAAAAAAUGUACCUUAUGUACUCUUGCGUACCUGUAAGGAAAGCCACAGAGAAAAUGCUUUGGUCUAGGAGACCCAAGCCUCUACCUAAACUAUAGCAGAGGACACAUAUGCAGUAUGUUGAGGUAAGCCACUAUCUAGGUAACAGUACGACUAUUAAACAAUUUUAUAAAAAGCUUUCUAGAUACUCUGAAUCACCUUGUACAAGGUAUCAGAGAAAUUAAUAUGAAUUUCACUAGACAACAUGUAGCAGCUGAGUCCAAAUCGCUUAUCCAUGUCUUGCAAGUGGCUGGUUUUGAGACAAGUAAACAAAAUGCUGUAGAGGGCAUGCAAGCUAAGCUUGUCUGGGGCAGUUCGCCUAAGAAUAGAUUUUUCAACUUGAAUCAAAAUUUCUGUGAUUUGAUGGGAAUUUCAAUCUAAGCAAUUAAGUGAUAGCAAGGAAAGAGCACCCUAAUAUUCGUUGCUCGGUAAAUAAUAGCUUAAAGGGAAAAAAAAAUAAUUGAAAUAAACAAUUUUUACUUAAAAAAAAAAACCACAACAAACCCUACCUUCAAUGUUUAAAAGAAUUACAAAAAAACCAAAACCCCAGGACACAAAACUGCACUUUGACACGUGAACAUGUACUCAUUACAUGUGAGCCAAAUAAACUUAUUUGCCUCAACCCUCAUUUCCAAGACUUCCCACCUUUAAUUAAUUAACGUGUUUUCAUUAUACAUUUCACAAUGAAAAUAGGUUUUGCAGUUCCUGGAACUUCACUUACAUCACUAAUUCGGUGUACUUUAAAAUCCCUCUAAUUAUGCAAGCCUAUAAAGUAAGUCACACUUUCAGACAUGAACACAGGUAAUACAAAAUACCAGAAUUAGCAGAAGCAUCAAAGCACACAGACAUGCACACACACUGCUACUAUGACGUGAGCACUACAUCAGGGAUACUCAAUGGGUAAGGCCUUUUCCAGACCACUUCCAAUUCCUAAUCUCAACUCUUCAAGAGUAAGAAAUAUUUAUCAUCUGUAAGAAGACAAAUGUAAAUGUUCUUGCCAAAGAACUUCUUUGUUUCUGGAAUGUUUUUAUGAAAACCAUCAUUUCAAACUUGCUUUCAGUACUCUUCCUAAAAUCAAGAAGGCACAA